CGCCUGGGGAGUACGGCCGCAAGGUUGAAACUCAAAGAAAUUGACGGGGACCCGCACAAGCGGUGGAGCAUGUGGUUUAAUUCGAAGCAACGCGAAGAACCUUACCAAAUCUUGACAUCCUCUGACCCCUCUAGAGAUAGAGUUUUCCCUUCGGGGACAGAGUGACAGUGGUGCAUGGUGUCGUCAGCUCGUGUCGUGAGAUGUGGGUAGUCCGCACGAGCGCACCCUAGCUAGUGCAUCAUAUGGCA
RNAcentral lists this ribosomal RNA (248 nucleotides) under uncultured Clostridium sp. Its description in RNAcentral is "partial 16S ribosomal RNA". It matches the Rfam family "Bacterial small subunit ribosomal RNA", at positions 870 to 1125 of the family's 1533-position model. Lineage: Bacteria; Bacillati; Bacillota; Clostridia; Eubacteriales; Clostridiaceae. The record is from RNAcentral.